CCUACGGGAGGCAGCAGUGGGGAAUCUUGCGCAAUGGCCGAAAGGCUGACGCAGCGACGCCGCGUGGGGGAUGACGGGCUUCGGCUUGUAAACCCCUGUUGCCCGGGACGAACUUCUGGCUUUGGCCAGAUUGACGGUACCGGGUGAGGAAGCACCGGCUAACUCCGUGCCAGCAGCCGCGGUAAUACGGAGGGUGCGAGCGUUGUCCGGAAUCACUGGGCGUAAAGGGCGCGUAGGCGGCGGGGUAAGCGUGCGGUGAAAGCUCGGGGCUCAACUCCGAGUCGGCCGUGCGAACUGCUCUCGCUGGAGCAUUGUAGAGGUCGAUGGAAUUCCGGGUGUAGCGGUGGAAUGCGUAGAGAUCCGGAAGAACACCGGUGGCGAAGGCGGUCGACUGGGCAAUGGCUGACGCUGAGGCGCGACAGCGUGGGGAGCAAACAGGA
This 440-nucleotide ribosomal RNA is filed under the name uncultured bacterium. RNAcentral describes it as "bacterial SSU rRNA". It matches the Rfam family "Bacterial small subunit ribosomal RNA", at positions 338 to 777 of the family's 1533-position model. The record is from RNAcentral.